UACAGAGGUGGCAAGCGUUGUUCGGAAUUACUGGGCGUAAAGGGCGCGUAGGCGGCCUCCUAAGUCAGACGUGAAAGCCCCAGGCUUAACCUGGGAACUGCGUCUGAUACUGGGAGGCUUGGAUUCGGGAGAGGGAUGUGGAAUUCCAGGUGUAGCGGUGAAAUGCGUAGAUAUCUGGAGGAACACCGGUGGCGAAGGCGGCAUCCUGGACCGAGAUCGACGCUGAGGCGCGAAAGCUAGGGGAGCAAACGGG
This 253-nucleotide ribosomal RNA is filed under the name uncultured bacterium. RNAcentral's name for it is "partial 16S ribosomal RNA". It matches the Rfam family "Bacterial small subunit ribosomal RNA", at positions 524 to 776 of the family's 1533-position model. The record is from RNAcentral.